GGCUGUGUUUGAUUUGUGCUGGCUGUGCCCUCGAUUAUCCUCCUUGACAGUCUCAGGCAAUCCUAUGGGAAAGCAUUGUGAUUGCCUCACAGAAUCCCUUCUGAUGAUGUCAGGCAUGCAGGCAGAUCAGGGGCAGCGGUUGCAGACUUGAAUACAAGUAAGAUUUUAAUAUAUUUAGGGAGGCAAGGGGUGUUCGGUGGUUUUAACAC
This is a non-coding RNA of Pelobates cultripes (western spadefoot toad), 209 nucleotides long. NCBI's taxonomy places the organism in Eukaryota, Metazoa, Chordata, Amphibia, Anura, Pelobatidae. The record is from the annotation of a GenBank genome assembly.